CCAAAGGUUGCUUUUGAUCAUUUCGUACUGAUUGUCUCGUUGAUUCGCCAUUCAAUUGUUGCAUUCCUCGUUGCUGCCAUGCUGUGAGACAAUUUAGUGCUAGCCCAUCCCUGGCUGGUGUUUAGAAUAUAUAAAUCUUUGUUAAAAAUAGAUCAUUGAACUAGACUAGCCUGUAUUCUAAAAGCUCACACUCAAUGAGUGGAGAUUCAAUCUGAGCUUCUGUUGAGUGUCAAUGCUGUUUUUGAAUAGCUGGAGGGUGAGUAGUCACAUAGUAAGGUACGACACUAACCCUCCAGCUGUUCAAAAACAGCAUUGAUACUGGCCGGAGAGAAUCUCAGAUUGAACUUCCACUCAUUGAGUGUGUGUGAGCUUUUGUGAGAGUUGCCAGUCAUGCAUUGUUACAGGGAACAUUUGAAGCUCUAGAUUAACAAAAUAAAGGUUUGUUGAGUGUUCCAACUAUGUUUUAACAUAAAUGAUUUAAAUACAUGAUAGUGUUAGGGAAGCAUUAAGAUUUAAGAACAGCUAACCAAGGUCGUAUGACAUCCUCCUUUGAUCCGGGAUAGUUAUUUUGUUUCUAAUGGAUAGUUGUAUCAGCUCUAAACUGUGCAGUAAGAUCAUUCCUUAUUGAUGCAGUCAGUCAACAACAUGAGGAGAAAAUCUGCAGUGUUUGGUAAGUCCAACAGGAAACACGGUAUAUUCCAGGAAUCAAACCCAAACAUUCUAAUUGUCCCCAUGAUCAUCAUGGCUAUGGAAUUCUGUAUUCCUAUAUAGACUAUUUUGUAUACGUCUCUUAGGUUGACCAUCGGUGUCGCUGGAUUUCGUCUGUGAUUUAAUCUUGAACUGCGUGUGCCAGUGUAGGUAGUGCCAAUAUUAAAUAACAAUCUUUCGUUGCUAGGGAUGCAGUUACCUGAAACUAUCCCCUAUCAUCCCUCCCAACAAAAGCUUGUUAUUUUAUGUAAGCCCACCAUAACAAUCAUUUCACCUUUCAGAUUUGACUUCCACUACCUAGAUGUGCGAUAAGGGACCAUUAACCAAUCAGAUACGUUUGAUAUAUCCGAUUAACCAAUCAGAUGCGUGCUGGAAGCCAGUGGGAGGUAGUGGUAGUGGAAGUCAAAUAGUGAACCUCCCUAAUCUUUCCGGUUCAGCACUUCCUACUAGUUAGGACUCAUUUUCCUUGAUGUCCCCACCACCAAGGCCCUUGGCUACCUAGCGCCUACUGUGGUGACACUGGAUCAAUAAGAGGUGAUCCUUACUGGACCUUUAGGAAGAACAGUUCAGAACUGAUGGAGCUAUCCAGUAUAAAUAAAGUUAGUUUAGUUUAGGUUUCCUCCUGUAGUAACACUGGAUCAAUAAGAGGUGGUCCUUACUGGACUUCUAGGAAGAACAGUUCAGAACUGAUAGAGCUAUCCAGUAUAAAUAAAGUUAGUUUAGUUUAGGUUUCCUCCUGUAGUAACACUGGAUCAAUAAGGGACGACCCUUACUGGACCUCUAGGAAGAACAGUUUAAACUGAUAGAGCUAUCCAGUAUAAAUAAAUAAAGUUAGUUUAUCUAGUUAUCCUAUGCAUAUUAAUCGCUGAACAUUUCAUCACUGUAUG
RNAcentral lists this long non-coding RNA (1595 nucleotides) under Paramuricea clavata. Lineage: Eukaryota; Metazoa; Cnidaria; Anthozoa; Malacalcyonacea; Plexauridae. The record is from RNAcentral.